Molecule: long non-coding RNA, 440 nt
Filed under: Mytilus galloprovincialis (Mediterranean mussel)
Lineage: Eukaryota; Metazoa; Mollusca; Bivalvia; Mytilida; Mytilidae
Source: RNAcentral
UUCCGCCUUAAAACCUAGCUUUUUUAUCAUGUUUACUGCAUUGUCAAAAGUUCAAUAUUUUACUGAUGUAUAGAAUUCAUAGUUAAAGUCAUUGACGCUGCCAUUAGCUGGUGAUGACAAAUGUGUUAAUAAACAAAAACCACCCGUUUUCUUUGGCACAAUGCCAAUAGGAGAAACUCGUAGAUUUGAACUAGGUCGAUAAUAAAAGGGGCCCGCAAUUCUGCCAUUUUCCUCUUCACUCAUGACUUUUCUCCAAGCUAAACUUGGAUCUUGUAAAACAGACUUUUAAUUUUUGCUUUCAUAAGCAGCCCUUGGGCCUGUAUAAUGUGUACGAAAACCAUAUUUAAAACAAUUAAAUAAUAUAUUUACCGAUAUUAUAUCGGGGUAGUUUUUCAACAUAUUCCCUUAAACCGUAGUAUUAAUAGGGGUAAAACCCAAAC